CACGUAGGGGGCAAGCGUUGUCCGGAUUUAUUGGGCGUAAAGAGCUCGUAGGCGGCUCAGUAAGUCAGGUGUGAAACCUCCAGGCUCAACCUGGAGACGCCACCUGAUACUGCUGUGGCUUGAGUCCGGUAGGGGAGCGUGGAAUUCCUGGUGUAGCGGUGAAAUGCGCAGAUAUCAGGAGGAACACCAGCGGCGAAGGCGGAUCUCUGGGCCUUACCUGACGCUGAGGCGCGAAAGCUAGGGGAGCGAACAGG
This 254-nucleotide ribosomal RNA is filed under the name uncultured bacterium. RNAcentral's name for it is "partial 16S ribosomal RNA". It matches the Rfam family "Bacterial small subunit ribosomal RNA", at positions 524 to 776 of the family's 1533-position model. The record is from RNAcentral.